ACCGGCAAACGGGGGAAGAACAGGUACGCAACCUUCCUUUAAGCGGGGAAUAGCCCAGGGAAACUUGGAUUAAUACCCCAUAAGAAUGUGGAAAGGCAUCUUUCAGCAUUUAAAGCUUCGGCACUUAAAGAUGGGCGUGCGGCUGAUUAGGUAGUUGGCGGGGUAACGGCCCACCAAGCCGACGAUCAGUAACUGGUGUGAGAGCACGACCAGUCACACGGGCACUGAGACACGGGCCCGACUCCUACGGGAGGCAGCAGUAAGGAAUAUUGGUCAAUGGACGCAAGUCUGAACCAGCCAUGCCGCGUGGAGGAUGAAGGCCCUCUGGGUUGUAAACUUCUUUUAUAGGGGAAGAAACCGGACUUUUCUAAGACCGUUGACGGUACCCUGUGAAUAAGCACCGGCUAACUCCGUGACUCCGUGCCAGCAGCCGCGGUAAUACGGAGGGUGCAAGCGUUAUCCCGGAUUCACUGGGUUUAAAGGGUGCGUAGGGUGAGGUAAGUCAGUGGUGAAAUCUCCGGGCUUAACCCGGAAACUGCCGUUGA
Molecule: ribosomal RNA, 545 nt
Filed under: uncultured bacterium
Lineage: Bacteria
Description: bacterial SSU rRNA
Rfam family: Bacterial small subunit ribosomal RNA
Source: RNAcentral